CCGGACGCCGUUCGGGUCCGGUUGGACAUAGAGAGCGUCGGCUCUCCGUUUACCGGCGCCUCUCAUGCCCAGAUCGCUUCAUAGGAGGAUUUGGAAAUGAGAA
This is a regulatory RNA element of 103 nucleotides. It matches the Rfam family "Repression of heat shock gene expression (ROSE) element". Rfam says of the family: This family represents a 5' UTR cis-regulatory element found in heat shock mRNAs and is known as the ROSE (repression of heat shock gene expression) element. The ROSE element is a negative regulator of heat shock gene expression. The record is from Rfam.